CCUACGGGAGGCUGCAGUGAGGAAUAUUGGUCAAUGGGCGCGAGCCUGAACCAGCCAAGUAGCGUGAAGGAUGACGGCCCUACGGGUUGUAAACUUCUUUUAUCAAGGAGUAAAGUGAGCCACGCGUGCCUUUCCGAAAGUACCCGAAGAAAAAGCAUCGGCUAACUCCGUGCCAGCAGCCGCGGUAAUACGGAGGAUGCGAGCGUUAUCCGGAUUUUAUGGGUUUAAAGGGGGCGCAGGGGGGUAGUUAAGUCAGCUGGGAAAGUUGGGGGCUCAACCGUAGAAGUGCCAUUGAUACUGGUAUUCUUGAGUGAGGUUGAGGUAUGCGGAAUGCGUGGUGUAGCGGUGAAAUGCAUAGAUAUCACGAAGAACUCCGAUUGCGAAGGCAGCAUAC
This 394-nucleotide ribosomal RNA is filed under the name uncultured bacterium. RNAcentral describes it as "partial 16S ribosomal RNA". It matches the Rfam family "Bacterial small subunit ribosomal RNA", at positions 338 to 729 of the family's 1533-position model. The record is from RNAcentral.